UGGAUCCAGACUUUGAUUCUGGCUCAGGACGAACGCUGGCGGCGUGCCUAACACAUGCAAGUCGAGCGGGGAUGGCAAGGAGCUUGCUCUGAACUAUCCUAGCGGCGGACGGGUGAGUAACGCGUGAGCAACCUGCCUUUCACAGGGGGAUAACGCAUCGAAAGAUGUGCUAAUACCGCGUAAGACCACAGCGCCACAUGGCGCAGGGGUCAAAGGAGCAAUCCGGUGAGAGAUGGGCUCGCGUCCGAUUAGCUAGUUGGUGAGAUAACAGCCCACCAAGGCGACGAUCGGUAGCCGACCUGAGAGGGUGAUCGGCCACAUUGGAACUGAGAGACGGUCCAGACUCCUACGGGAGGCAGCAGUGGGGAAUAUUGGGCAAUGGGCGAAAGCCUGACCCAGCAACGCCGCGUGAGGGAAGAAGGGUUUCGGCUCGUAAACCUCUGUCCUAUGGGACGAAGGAAGUGACGGUACCAUAGGAGGAAGCCCCGGCUAACUACGUGCCAGCAGCCGCGGUAAUACGUAGGGGGCGAGCGUUGUCCGGAAUGAUUGGGCGUAAAGGGCGCGUAGGCGGCCUGCUAAGUCUGGAGUGAAAGUCCUGCUUUCAAGGUGGGAAUUGCUUUGGAUACUGGGAGGCUGGAGUGCAGGAGAGGAAAGCGGAAUUACCGGUGUAGCGGUGAAAUGCGUAGAGAUCGGUAGGAACACCAGUGGCGAAGGCGGCUUUCUGGACUGAGACUGACGCUGAGGCGCGAAAGCGUGGGGAGCAAACAGGAUUAGAUACCCUGGUAGUCCACGCGGUAAACGAUGAAUGCUAGGUGUAGGAGGUAUCGACCCCUCCUGUGCCGCAGUCAACACAAUAAGCAUUCCGCCUGGGGAGUACGGCCGCAAGGUUGCAACUCAAAUGAAUUGACGGA
This 911-nucleotide ribosomal RNA is filed under the name uncultured Bacillota bacterium. RNAcentral describes it as "bacterial SSU rRNA". It matches the Rfam family "Bacterial small subunit ribosomal RNA", at positions 1 to 917 of the family's 1533-position model. Lineage: Bacteria; Bacillati; Bacillota. The record is from RNAcentral.